Molecule: long non-coding RNA, 1167 nt
Organism: Lates calcarifer (barramundi perch)
Lineage: Eukaryota; Metazoa; Chordata; Actinopteri; Centropomidae
Exons: 3
Source: RefSeq, a predicted model, not a curated record
GGAGCACUCAGCAGGCGGUGUCGGUGGCUCCUUGGCCGGGCUGAAAUUUAAAAGUCCGGGGGCUUAAUAGCAAAACUGCCCUUGUCAAAAAGUUCGGAAAAGCUAAGAGACACCGGGAAGACAGGAGGAGCUCGGAGCCUCACUGAGAAAGAACGAUGCCCUCCUGUAAGCUGUGAUGAAAAGACACCGGGAGAAACUCGUCCUCUAAAACUCAACAAGAAAAGUAGAUCUACGAACCAGUAAGACAAUUUUUUUCUUUUUUUAUUCUGUGUGUUUUUGGCCGCCGCGCCGCGCUCUCACAAACACGCACACAUGCACGCACACUGACUUUUACAUCCUCCCCUCUCUGUCUCUUUGCUGUGAAUUGCUAUGUCUUGUCAUGGCCGCCGCGUCAUGACUGCUUGUUGGUCUGCUUGAAAUGUUUUUAUGUGUUAUAUGUGUCAUAUGUGUCUUUGCUUGGCUGCCGCGCCAAGACUAUAUAUUUUUUUUUUAAAAAAACAUCCGCCGACAUAGCCCUAGUCUGCGCAUCCAAUUUGACCACCAUGGCCACCCAUUAUUCCGCGUGUCCGUAAGCUACAACAUGGCCACCUGUGUUUGUCUCUGUCUUUCCAUUUCUCUUUGUUUUUCUUCUCUCAGGAACAGAUAGCUGAUCAACUGUGUGGGGAGGGAUGGCCUCCUAACACAAUUGGAACAUUUAGUGGUCUUGUUGUUUUGGAUAGUGAGUUUAUUUAGAGGACUGCAGGCUGGUUGGAAGAGGGAGAGAAAUCUGUUUGUUUUUUGAACCUAAAUGCUCAGUAAGAAAAAGGUUGGCUCUGGUUUGAUAAGCUAGUGAUGGUGUGACCAGGAAGAGUGAGACAUAGGGUCAGAGUUAGACUGAUGUGGUGCAGAGACUGAAGGCUCUGUGAUGGCUCCAGACAGGUUUUGUUAGGUUGUUUAUUAGUGGCUCUGUGGUGUUGAGUGUGAGACAGGGAAGGUUUUUGUGUACAAUGAUUUGAUGGAGCUGCAGUAGACAAUAGUAAUGGAGAGUUUUUGUAGUGUGGCAUAAACAAAGGUUGUGCUAAAAAUCAGGUGUAUUGAAGGUGCUUUGUCUUAUUGAUUUCUGUCUAAUAAGCUUGGAUCAAUAUUUGUGAACUAAUUUUUCCUUUUUAGGUAAAUCUACAAUCGGUG